RNA transcript from Neogale vison (American mink), 8506 nucleotides. It is a transcript of the gene named kinesin family member 7, with no coding region annotated. The record is from RefSeq and is a predicted model, not a curated record. The transcript is spliced from 19 exons. Lineage: Eukaryota; Metazoa; Chordata; Mammalia; Carnivora; Mustelidae.
GGAUCCGACUCCCGGUUACCUGCAGGGGGCGGUCCAGCCCCUGGAGUACAGGUGCUGACCGGAGGGGUCUCUUUCUCUCCAGGCCCCCACCCUCGCGCCAUGGGGCUGGAGACCCAGAGGCUGCCGGCGGCGGCCGAGGAGGCCCCAGUGAGGGUGGGCCUGCGCGUCCGCCCGCUGCUGCCCAAGGAGCUGCUGCACGGCCACCAGAGCUGCCUGACCGUAGAGCCCGAGCACAGCCGCGUCACCCUCGGUCGAGACCGCCACUUUGGCUUCCACGUGGUGCUGGAUGAGGACGCGGGGCAGGAGGCCGUGUACCAGGCCUGCGUGCAGCCCCUCCUCGAGGCUUUCUUUGAGGGCUUCAAUGCCACCGUCUUUGCCUACGGCCAGACAGGCUCCGGGAAGACGUACACCAUGGGGGAGGCCAGUGUGGCUUCCCUUCACGAGGAUGAGCAGGGCAUCAUCCCCCGGGCCAUGGCUGAAGCCUUCAAGCUGAUCGACGAGAAUGACCUGCUGGACUGCCUCGUGCACGUGUCCUACCUGGAAGUGUACAAGGAAGAGUUCCGAGACCUGCUAGAGGUGGGCACUGCCAGCCGAGACAUCCAGCUUCGGGAGGAUGAUCGGGGAAAUGUUGUGCUGUGUGGCGUGAAGGAGGUAGACGUGGAGGGCCUGGACGAGGUGCUGAGCCUCCUGGAGAUGGGCAACGCAGCGCGGCACACGGGGGCCACGCACCUCAACCGCCUGUCCAGCCGCUCACACACUGUGUUCACCGUGACCCUGGAGCAGCGGGGGCGCGCCCCCAGCCGCCUACCCCGACCCACCGCGGGCCAGCUGCUGGUCUCCAAGUUCCACUUCGUGGACCUGGCGGGCUCAGAGAGGGUGCUCAAGACGGGCAGCACAGGCGAGCGGCUCAAGGAGAGCAUCCAGAUCAACAGCAGCCUCCUGGCGCUGGGCAACGUCAUCAGCGCCCUGGGCGAUCCCCAGCGCCGCGGCAGCCACAUCCCCUACCGGGACUCCAAGAUCACCCGGAUCCUCAAAGACUCGCUGGGCGGGAACGCCAAGACGGUGAUGAUCGCCUGCGUCAGUCCCUCCUCCUCCGACUUCGACGAGACCCUCAACACCCUCAACUACGCCAGCCGCGCCCAGAACAUCCGCAACCGCGCCACGGUCAACUGGCGGCCCGAAACCGAGCGCGCCCCCGAGGAGGCGGCGGCCGGCACGCGGGGGCCCCCGCGCCACCGCUCGGAGACGCGCAUCAUCCACCGCGGCCGGCGCGUCCCCGGUGCCGCCAACGCCCCCGCCCCUGCCGCCGCCGCCGCCGCCGCCGCCGCCGCGCGUCUGGGCGCCGAGUGCGCGCGCUACCGGGCCCGCACCGACGCCGCCUACAGCCUCCUGCGCGAGCUGCAGGCCGAGCCCGGGCUGCCCGGCGCCGCGGCCCGCAAGGUGCGCGACUGGCUGUGCGCCGUCGAGGGCGAGCGCAGCGCCCUGAGCUCCGCCUCCGGGCCUGACAGCGGCAUCGAGAGCGCCUCCGCCGAGGAGCAGGCCACGCAGGGCCCCGGCGGGCCGACGGUGGCCAAGGGCCAGGACGAGGACGGGGCAGUGCAGCUGCUUGCACUGCAGAGCCAGGUGGCCCGGCUGGAGGAGGAGAACCGAGACUUUCUGGCCGCACUGGAGGACGCCAUGGAGCAGUACAAACUGCAGAGCGACCGGCUGCGGGAGCAGCAGCAGGAGAUGGCAGAGCUGCGGCUGCGGCUAGAACUGGUGCGGCCUGGCUGGGGGGCCCCAGGGCUCCUGCAGGGUCUGCCUCCUGGGUCCUUUGUGCCUCGGCCUCACACAGCCCCUCUGGGGUGUGCCCACAGCCACGUGCUGGGCAUGGUGCCUCCUGCCUGCCUUCCUGGAGACGAAGUUGGCCCCGAGAACUGGGGAGAGCAGGUGACAAAUGGCAGAGAGGCCGGAGCCAAGGGGGAGGCAGACGGGCCGGGAAGUGGAAGCUGCUCAUCGGCGGAGGCGGAGGGGGAGGAGGAGGAGGAGGAGCAAGCGGCUGAGCUGCCUCGGACCCUGCACCUGCGCAGAAACGGAAUCAGCAAGUGGAGCCAGAGGGUGGGGGCCCGCCCAGAGAGUCCACUCGACAGGAAGGGCCCAGAGCUUACCCUUGAGGAAGUGGGUGCAGCCAUCCCGGGGCCCAGAGUCAGUGGUGGGAGCAAGGCUCCGGCUCGACCCCGUCAGACCCCAGCGGCCAUGGCGUCUGAGUGGCGGCUGGCCCAAGCCCAGCAGAAGAUCCGAGAACUGGCCAUCAACAUCCGCAUGAAGGAGGAGCUCAUUGGCGAGCUGGUCCGCACAGGGAAGGCGGCCCAGGCCCUGAACCGCCAGCACAGCCAGCAUAUCCGGGAGCUGGAGCAGGAGGCAGAACAGGUGCGGGCUGAGCUGAGCGAAAGCCAGAGGCAGCUGCGGGAGCUUGAGGGCAAGGAGCCUCAGGACGCAGGCGAGCGCUCCCAGCUCCAGGAGUUCCGCAAGAGGGUCGCCGCCGCCCAGAGCCAGGUGCAGGUGCUGAAGGAGAGGAAGCAGGCGACGGAACGGCUGGCGUCGUUGUCGACGCAGCGCGAGAAGCGGCUGCAGGAGCUCGAGCGGCACGUGCAGCUCAUGCGGCAACAGCAGGGGCAGCUGCAGCGGCGGCUGCGCGAGGAGACGGAGCAGAAGCGGCGCCUGGAGACCGAGAUGAACAAGCGGCAGCACCGCGUCCAGGAACUGGAGCGAAGGCACGAGCAGCAGCAGAAGAUCCUGAAGAUCAAGACGGAAGAGAUCGCGGCCUUCCAGCGGAAGCGGCGCAGCGGCAGCAACGGCUCCGUGGUCAGCCUGGAGCAGCAGCAGAAGAUCGAGGAGCAGAAGAGGUGGCUGGAUCAGGAGAUGGAGAAGGUCCUGCAGCAGCGGCGGGCCCUGGAGGAGCUGGGGCAGGAGCUCCACAAGCGGGAGGCCAUCCUGGCCAAGAAGGAGGCCCUGAUGCAGGAGAAGACGGGGCUGGAGAGCAAACGCCUGCGGUCCAGCCAGGCCCUCAGCGAGGACAUCGUGCGCGUGUCCAGCCGGCUGGAGCACCUGGAGAAGGAGCUGUCGGAGAAGAGCGGGCAGCUGCGGCAGGGCAGCGCCCAGAGCCAGCAGCGCCUGCGCGGGGAGAUCGACGCCCUGCGCCAGGAGAAGGACUCGCUGCUGAAGCAGCGCCUGGACAUCGAUGGCAAGCUGAGGCGGGGCAGCCUGCUGUCGCCCGAGGAGGAGCGGACGCUGUUCCAGCUGGACGAGGCCAUCGAGGCCCUGGACGCGGCCAUCGAGUACAAGAACGAGGCCAUCACGUGCCGCCAGCGGGUGCUGCGGGCUUCCGCCUCCUUGCUGUCCCAGUGUGAGAUGAACCUCAUGGCCAAGCUCAGCUACCUCUCGUCCUCAGAGACCAGAGCCCUGCUCUGCAAGUAUUUUGACAAGGUCGUGACGCUCCGGGAAGAGCAGCACCAGCAGCAGAUUGCCUUCUCCGAGCUGGAGAUGCAGCUGGAGGAGCAGCAGAGGCUGGUCUACUGGCUGGAGGUGGCGCUGGAGCGGCAGCGCCUGGAGAUGGACCGCCAGCUGACCCUGCAGCAGAAGGAGCACGAGCAGAGCGUGCAGCUGCUACUGCAGCAGAGCCGAGAUCACCUCGGGGAGGGCCUAGCAGACAGCAAGAGGCACUACGAGAGCCGGAUUCAAGCCCUGGAGAAGGAGCUGGGCCGCCACAUGUGGCUGAACCAGGAACUGAAGCAGAAACUCGGUAGCUGGAGCGCUGCGGGCCCGAGCAGGGGGCCAGGUGCGGAGAAGAGGACGCUGUGCCUGGAGAGCAGAGCGGCCCCCGGGACCGAAGAGGAGCUCCCCGGCGCGCCCGAGCUGCUCCGGCCACAGCCCCUCCCUGACGGUGCCCCCCGCGCCCGGGAAGAGGUGCGGGACUUGGUCCGGGCCCCCCUCCCGCUGACGUGGAAACGGUCGAGCCUGUGCGGUGAGGAGCAGGGCUCCGGGGAGGAGGCGCGGCCGCGGGAGGCCCCCCCCCCGGCAGGGCGGGUGCUCCCGGGUGCGGAGGUGGCUCUGCCCUGGAACUUCGGGGUCCUGGCCAAAGCCCGGCGGGACCUGCGCAGAGCCAGCCCGGGAAUGAUUGACGUCAGGAAAAACCCCCUGUAGGCUCGUGGGCAGAGCCCGCCUUGGGGCGGGGGACGACCCUCUGAGCCCCCUGCGCAGUCCCGUUGCCUGCCUCUGCUUCUGGGAAGGACAGUCUCGAUUUCCCACCGCAGAUCCAGGUCCUGAUCUUGACCCCGUUGGAGUCUACAAAUUCCGGCUACAGCCCAAAUGAAUGGGACUCAAUUUUUUAAAUAUGCAGACUGAUGCCCCCUUUUUCCUUUGAGCUGUGGUACCAUAUUGCCAUCUUUUGGCUUGAGAGUUUGCAGAAGGCACUUCUGGCCUCAAGCCUGCGUCUGUGUGCCUGUCCUUCUGGAGUUCAGCCAGAGCCAGACCCAGAACCGUCAGUGCCAUCCGGGUAGGGUUUUAAAUGGUCUUAGGUUUAUGGUGGGAAUGGGGAAGCUUUGCCUAUUUUUAGAGUUUUGUAAAACCAUUUUAUAAUAAAGGAGUGUCUCUGAGAGGAGAAAUAGGAGUUUGACUUGGUUUCACCUACAAGACAAGAGAAUUUGAUGAGGACAUGACGGGCUUGAAAGCAUGUCAGACCCCUGAACCAGGGCCAAGUGAGACCUGCGCCCCCCCGCCCCCGGCCCGUCCUGGGUUGCAGGGCUGACUUGGAGAUGAGACACGGCACCAGCUACCACUGGAGCUCUGCCAGGGUAAGUCAAGCUGAGGCCUCGAGGUUUAAACAGAAAGGCACUGAAUGCUGCGUAGCUGGAGAGGGUUUUAUUAGGACGUGAGGAAGUUAAAUUCAUUCUCUGUCGGGCACAGCCUUCAGCUUUGGGAGGGACCCAUAAGGAGCCCUUUCUCCCACUUCCCAAGUGAGGGGGUGGUUGUUGGACUGGCUUUGGUCUCCCAGACGUGGGGGCUAGAAGGGGAGCCUGCUCUAAGUCCUUGUCUGCCUCCCCUAGCAAGGGGCAGGGCUGGGCGGCAGGCCUCCUGGGAGGGGGAGUAAAACCCGGAAGGGACUCGUGGGAAUCACAGAGACCUGAGACCAGGCCCUGGUAUCUGCAGGCUCCUGGGGACCAGGCUGACUUCAUCUUUUGAGCCUCCUCUGUUCAGAGCGCCCCGCUUCUUCCUGUUUCUGUGCAGCCGGCCCAGGGUGACGUGCGACAGAGUAGUCAGGUCCUGGCUCAGAGGAACUGAGUUUUCCUCUCUGACUGGAGGCCAGAAUUCCUGAAACGGCCAGAGCAAACAGCUCUCCAAGCACUGGUCUGUCCUGGGAAGGUGGUGGCUCUGGCCAAGCCCGGCGGUGGGUGUCCUAUGAAGUCCCCCACCCAGGUGCAUCCCAACUAGCUUAUCAGCUUCUUCCGGGUGUAAGUUCUGCUGAUGGCGCGUCUCCUGGAGAACGCUCGGCUGAAAGGAGAUUCCUCGGCCGUCGGGGGGAGGACCUCUAUGUCCUCAUCUAGACAAGACAGAGGGCAUGCAGGACGUGAGCAUGGAACAGAAAAGGGGCUUGAACGGGAGGGGGGUCCACAUGCAGAGGACUCCCCCCGCCCCCCCAGCCCUGCCUGCAGCUCACGUGCUAAGGAAGGGCAAGCUGCGCUUUCUGCUGGGCUCUGUGCCCUCACGCCAGCUGGGGCCGGUGGCGGUUAGUGACUGAGAAAGCACGGUACCAUGGUCUAAAUUCCUUCAGCUGGUUGUACAUUUAAAUUCUGGUCUUGGGGGUUGUGGCCUCCUGUGUUCCUCUAUAGUUCUAGAUGUUUCUACCCUGGUAGUGCACUGAGCACCUGCAAGCCAGUCCCGUCCCAGGUGGAGUCGAGGAAAGGGAAUCCUCGUGUCCGGAGGCUGAGCACAACGGCCGGUCUCUAAUCCUAAUCUAAGGACAGAGGUGUGACCCUGUGGGGGUUGGCGCAGACUGCCAGCGCGUCACCUGCCACCUGUGCUGCCCGACACACGCUCCUCAGGUGCCCGGGACUACACCGCACAGAGGUCACUGCUUCCAGAAGCUGUUUCACGACACACUGGAGUUCCAGCGGUGGAGUUUCUCUGGGACGAGCACAGGACCCCACAGGGACAAAGUCCUCUGUCCCAGCUCGGGCACUCCUUCCGACUCCUCCACGAUCCCACUGUCUGGCAACCCUGAGCUACCUCUGGGGAGUCCCCCGAAGGAGCCACGUAAGUCUCCAGGACCCUCGCUUAACGAGUUACCUCUGGCCUCGUGAUGCUGCGAGGAAGGCGUCCUCCCGUGGAACAGCAGCGGAGAGUGGGUGAGAGCCUGCAGGCCGCUGGCCGAGAGGCAGCUGCGCAGCGCCCAGCCGGGCGGGGGCGUGGAGGCUACGGGAGGGGACAGGGUGAGCGCGGCCCCGCGGCACCCCCAGACAGGGGAGCCUCCCGAUGCCUCUGUGCCCAGCACCGCCAGCCGCAACCCCAGGGACGCAGACUCACCCGGAAGGAACACGUCGUCGUCGCCCGCGGAGGGCAGGUGCCGCCCGCUCGCCCGCGGAGAUGGCUCCCUGCUCCCGCUAAGCUCUGCGUCUCCUCUCGGCUCCUCACGCGCUCUCUUGGCUGGACCCUCCGCUUCCUCCUUGGCAGGAAGGAGCCUCUUCCUGGAACCCAACCCGAACUGUCCCCAGGAGGCUUCCUCAGCCUGAGGCGCACAGUCCCUGGGAGGUGACUGGUCCGGUAGCCGGCACACCCCCUCAAGCUCAAAAUCCCCCAAGAGGGGCGUCCUGCUGCUGCCGAGUUCAAGGCCUCCUCGCUCCCUUCUCUCCUGCUCGAGCAGGGACACACCUGCAAGCCCCAGCCAGACGGCUGCCUCACGCCCCCACGUACCCAAUGAUCAUUCAUCUCGAUCAACCCCACCAGGCCUAAAGAGCGAGUAGUAGUGACAGAUCACCUGCUUACUUGUUCAUCCCUGACAGGCUCAGUGGGUUUUCUGGGCCAUGUCUCUGUUUUCCCCUCAAGACCACACUUUUUUAAACACCGAAGAAAUGUUAUACCUGAUAAGCUGUGGGUAUCUCAGAGCCUGGUGGGUUUCUGGAAGAUCUCUGAAUUCGAGCUGAACCCUUCUCUGAGGGACUGACCAUCUCGGACAAUGCCCCGAAAAGCAGCCUCUUGGGAGAACGAAUACUUUGGUUUGGAGAAUUUUCUCUUUGGCCUGUAAGUCAAAAACAGUGAGUCUUUCUCAGCUCCUGCCCUCCCAAUACUAAGAGAACAGCCAGUCCAUAGAAGAUGACAGUUUGACAGUGUUUUAAAGCAAGUAAGAGUGGGGAGGAAUCCCACCUAGUUAUGCCAGUUAUGGCUGCCAUCUUGAAUUUUAAUAAGCUGGUGUAUGAACUUCAUACAUAUAAGCCCUUAUAUGUUAGGCAAGUAAAACUAUUUGUAAAUAUAAAAGCACAUGACUGAGGUUCCAGACUAAUGGAUAAAAGCAUGAAGGCCAAACCUGUAUCACCUUCUAGCUAGGACAUCUGAGUGCAGAAUGUGAGCACGGGUGGAAAUAAUGGGUAAUUCCUGUUGAAUGGAUAAUUAUCCCGUAAGGAUAGUGUGGACGACCAGCUGUAAUAAUCCAGAGGGAGGACACUGUUGACGAAGGUCCUGGAUUGUUUGUCAUCCUGAACCUCUCAUGGACAUACCUGUUCUACUGCUCCAGCAUCAAGCAAGAAAAUGUCAAAUUUUGUACUUUUCCCAAAAACACUUCCUGCCAAGUAGGCCUAGACUUCUGAAAGCAGAUGAACAAGCAUCUUACCUGACUUUUCUUGCUGGAAUGAGUGAACUCUUUGCACACUUCGAGACGUUGGCUGAGAUCCAGAAUAGAAGGAACCAGAAUUUGUCCUGCUGAAUGACAACUGUUUGAUUCGAGGACUUCGUCUCAAGCUUACUUCUGCAAAACCAGAAUCCCAUUUAGUAUCCAGGGAGAAAUGCAAGCUUUUUACAUUUUCCCAUGUAUGAAAUAGAUAAAAUUUAUGUAAUACCACAUACAAGAUGGAAAUUUGACAAAGAUGGAGACUUCUGAAGUGUCGUAACAAAGCUACAAAGGUAUGAUGUAUGGCCCCAAAUGGUACAAAAAAAAAAACCAUUGCCACUAGACUGUCACCCUCACAAGUCUCAACUGCCAGCCUUUUAACCACAAUGUUGGGUGGGGGAAAAAAAGCUUUGUAUAGUGUGACUCUCGUAAAAAAUUUUUUUUAAUUUAAAAAUUGUAGUUUUCUUAUUUAUGUUACAUACAUUUUUACAGAAAUGGCACCUGUAAGAGUAUUAUUAAAACUAAAAUGUUAAAUAGUAUUUCUAAGUGGUGGGAUUAUGAAGUGACUGUUAAAAUUUUGCUUCUGUUUUCUGAUUUUUAUACAAUAAGCAAAUUACUUGAAUCAUUAAAAAAGGUUUUUUUAGGAAA